Oreochromis aureus is the source of this 1038-nucleotide long non-coding RNA. NCBI's taxonomy places the organism in Eukaryota, Metazoa, Chordata, Actinopteri, Cichliformes, Cichlidae. The record is from Ensembl.
AAAAGACUUUCCACACAAGUGACAGUUUUACGCUUUAAAUCCACUGUGGAAGAGUUGGUGUCUUUUUAGGCCUUGAGCCUGGGUAAAAGACUUUCCACACAAGUCACAGCUGUAAGGUUUAAAUCCACUGUGGAUGAGUUGGUGUUUUUUUAAGUGUCCAGCCUGGUUAAAACACUUUCCACACAAGUCACAGCUGUAAGGUUUAAAUCCGCUGUGGAUGAGUUGGUGUGUUUUUAAGCUUCCAGCCUGGUUAAAACACUUUCCACACAAGUCACAGCUGUAAGGUUUAACUCCACUGUGGAUGAGUUGGUGUUUUUUUAAGCUUCCAGCCUGGGUAAAAGACUUUCCACACAAGUGACAGUUGUACGCUUUAACUCCACUGUGGAUGAGUUGGUGUGUUUUUAAGCUUCCAGCCUGGGUAAAAGACUUUCCACACAAGUCACAGCUGUAAGGUUUAAAUCCACUGUGGACGAGUUGGUGGUUUUUUAAGUGUCCAGCCUCGGUAAAAGACUUUCCACACAAGUCACAGCUGUAAGGUUUAACUCCACUGUGGAUGAGUUGGUGUGUUUUUAAGCUUCCAGCCUGGUUAAAAGACUUUCCACGCAAGUCACAGCUGUAAGGUUUAACUCCACUGUGGAUGAGUUGGUGUGUUUUUAAGUGUCCAGUCCGGGUAAAAUCCUUCCCGCACUCAUCACAGCUGUAAGGUUUAACUCCACUGUGGAUGAGUUGGUGUGUUUUUAAGUGUCCAGUCCGGGUAAAAUCCUUCCCACACUCAUCACAGCUGUAAGGUUUAACUCCACUGUGGACGAGUUGGUGUCUUUUUAAACCUCCAGCCUCGGUAAAGGACUUUCCACACAAGUCACAGCUGUAAGGUUUAACUCCACUGUGGACGAGUUGGUGUGUUUUUAAACGUCCAGUCCGGGUAAAAUCCUUCCCACAUUCAUCACAGCUGUAGGUUUUCUCUCCCUUUCUUCUGUGAGGUUUGUCGGCCUCCUGAGAGCGCUGACUUCUCGCUCCAUGUUGGUCCUGCAGUGAGAG